AGGACGAACGCUGGCGGCAUGCCUAACACAUGCAAGUCGAACGGAGUAUCAGGGGCUUGCUCUUGAUACUUAGUGGCGAACGGGUGAGUAACGCGUGAGCAACCUGCCUUCAAAACCGGGAUAACACAGAGAAAUUUGUGCUAAUACCGGAUAAGACCACAGUGUCGCAUGACACAGUGGUAAAAAACUCAGGUGAUUGAAGAGGGGCUCGCGACCCAUUAGCUUGUUGGCGGGAUAACAGCCCACCAAGGCGACGAUGGGUAGCCGACUUGAGAGAGUGAUCGGCCACACUGGAACUGAGACACGGUCCAGACUCCUACGGGAGGCAGCAGUGGGGAAUAUUGGGCAAUGGAGGAAACUCUUUAACCCCCAGCAAUGCCGCGUGAGUGAAGAAGGUCGUAAGAUUGUAAAGCUCUUUAAUUGGGGACGAAGACAGUGACGGUACCCAAAGAAUAAGCCCCGGCUAACUACGUGCCAGCAGCCGC
RNAcentral lists this ribosomal RNA (485 nucleotides) under uncultured bacterium. RNAcentral's name for it is "bacterial SSU rRNA". It matches the Rfam family "Bacterial small subunit ribosomal RNA", at positions 26 to 518 of the family's 1533-position model. The record is from RNAcentral.